UACGUAGGGUGCAAGCGUUGUCCGGAAUUAUUGGGCGUAAAGAGCUCGUAGGCGGCCUGUUGCGUCCGCUGUGAAAGCCCGGGGCUUAACCCCGGGUCUGCAGUGGAUACUGGCAGGCUAGAGGUAGGUAGGGGAGAAUGGAAUUCCCGGUGUAGCGGUGAAAUGCGCAGAUAUCGGGAGGAACACCGGUGGCGAAGGCGGUUCUCUGGGCCUUACCUGACGCUGAGGAGCGAAAGCGUGGGGAGCGAACAGG
This 253-nucleotide ribosomal RNA is filed under the name uncultured bacterium. RNAcentral's name for it is "partial 16S ribosomal RNA". It matches the Rfam family "Bacterial small subunit ribosomal RNA", at positions 524 to 776 of the family's 1533-position model. The record is from RNAcentral.